RNAcentral lists this ribosomal RNA (492 nucleotides) under uncultured bacterium. Its description in RNAcentral is "partial 16S ribosomal RNA". It matches the Rfam family "Bacterial small subunit ribosomal RNA", at positions 28 to 507 of the family's 1533-position model. The record is from RNAcentral.
GGUGAACGCUGGCGGUAGGCCUAACACAUGCAAGUCGAACGGCAGCACAGUAAGAGCUUGCUCUUACGGGUGGCGAGUGGCGGACGGGUGAGGAAUACAUCGGAAUCUACUUUUUCGUGGGGGAUAACGUAGGGAAACUUACGCUAAUACCGCAUACGACCUACGGGUGAAAGCAGGGGAUCUUCGGACCUUGCGCGAUUGAAUGAGCCGAUGUCGGAGUAGCUAGUUGGCGGGGUAAAGGCCCACCAAGGCGGCGAUCCGUAGCUGGUCUGAGAGGAGGAUCGGCCACACUGGAACUGAGACACGGUCCAGACUCCUACGGGAGGCAGCAGUGGGGAAUAUUGGACAAUGGGCGCAAGCCUGAUCCAGCCAUACCGCGUGGGUGAAGAAGGCCUUCGGGUUGUAAAGCCCUUUUGUUGGGAAAGAAAAGCAGCAGGUUAAUACCCCGCUGUUCUGACGGUACCCAAAGAAUAAGCACCGGCUAACUUCGUG